UCAAGCGAAUAAGAGCUUACGAUGGAUAUCUUGGUGUUCAGAAGCGAUGAAGGGCGUGGCUACCAACGAAAUAUCUCGGGGAAUUGGAAGCAAGUAUUGAUCCGAGAGUACCCGAAUGAGGAAACUUCAUGAACUACUUCUUGAAUAAAUAAAGAAGCAAGAGCAAACCUAGUGAAUUGAAACAUCUUAGUAACUAGAGGAAAAGAAAGCAAAAGCGAUUCCCUUAGUAGCGGCGAGCGAAAUGGGAUUAGUCUAAACUCUAUUUUGGAGGGUUGUGGGACAAUUUUAUUUAAUUUGCAGUUUGUUAGAUGAAACAGGUGGAAUAUUGUACCAAAGAAGGUGAAAGUCCUGUAAUCAAAAACAAGUGCAUCUUUUUUGUAUCCCAAGUAGAAAGGGACACGUGGAACCCCUUUUGAAUUAGCGAGGACCACCUCGUAAGACUAAAUAUUACUGAAUAACCGAUAGUGAACUAGUACCGUGAGGGAAAGAUGAAAAGAACCCCGGGAGGGGAGUGAAAUAGAACAUGAAAUCGUAAGUUUACAAGCAGUAGAAGAGCGACUUAACGCUCAACUUCGUGCCUGUUGAAGAAUGAGCUGGCGACUUAUAGGUUAUGGCUUGGUUAAGGUAAGAAAAUACUGGAGCCACAGUGAAAGCGAGCUUGAUAAGAGCUUUAAGUCAUAAUUUAUAGACCCGAACCUGGAUGAUCUAACCAUGGCCAGUGUGAAGCUUAGGUAACACUAAGUGGAGGUACCAACCGACUGUUGUUGAAAAAACAGCGGAUGAGCUGUGGUUAGGGGUGAAAUUCCAAUCGAAUCCAGAGCUAGCUGGAUCUCCCCGAAAUGCGUUGAGGCGCAGCGGUUAAUGUUUCUUCUUAGGGGUAAAGCUACUGUUUUGGUGCGGGCUGCGAGAGCGGUACCAAAUCAAGGCAAACUCUGAAUACUAAGACGUUUAGUUAACUAGUGAGACAUUGGGGGAUAAGCUUCAGUGUCAAAAGGGAAACAGCCCAGAUUAUUGGCUAAGGCCCCUAAAUAAUUACUAAGUGAUAAAGGAGGUGGGGUUGCAUAGACAAUCAGGAGGUUUGCCCAGAAGCAGCAAUCCUUUAAAGAGUGCGUAAUAGCUCACUGUUCGAGUGAUCCUGCGCCGAAAAUGAAUGGGACUAAGUAAUUUGCCGAAGCUGUAAGAUGUUUAAACAUCGGUAGGGGAGCGUUCUACAUUAGUUUGAAGCGUUAGCGGAAGCGGGCGUGGACAAAGUAGAAGUGAGAAUGUCAGCUUGAGUAGCGAAAACAUUGGUGAGAAUCCAAUGCCCCGAAAACCCAAGGGUUCCUCCGGAAGGUUCGUCCGCGGAGGGUGAGUCAGGUCCUAAGGUGAGGCUGAAAAGUGUAGUCGAUGGAUAACAGGUGAAUAUUCCUGUACUGUUUAUUGUUGGUAAAGAAGGACGGAGAAGGCUAAAUCGACCGGAUGUUGGUUACCGGCUUAAGUAUACGAGGUGUCGAAGAGCGGUGAAAACGGUCUGAGCUGAGUUGCGAAUAGGAAAGUGUUAAGACACUGAACCGAUUGAUGUCAUACUUCCGAGAAAAGUUCUAAAUACCAUAAACAAUAAAUACCUGUACCCUAAACCGACACAGGUGGGUAGGUAGAGAAUACUAAGGGGCGCGAGAUAACUCUCUCUAAGGAACUCGGCAAAAUGGCCUCGUAACUUCGGGAGAAGAGGUACCCUUAAUGGGUUGCAAGAACCAGACGCUGGCGACUGUUUAUCAAAAACACAGGUCUCCGCAAAGUCGUAAGACGAUAUAUGGGGGCUGACACCUGCCCAGUGCCGGAAGGUUAAAGAAGCUUGUUAGUCUUUGGCAAAGCUCGCGACUGAAGCCCCGGUGAACGGCGGCCGUAACAAUAACGGUCCUAAGGUAGCGAAA
Molecule: ribosomal RNA, 1913 nt
Filed under: Scyphosphaera apsteinii
Lineage: Eukaryota; Haptophyta; Coccosphaerales; Pontosphaeraceae
Description: partial Bacterial large subunit ribosomal RNA
Rfam family: Bacterial large subunit ribosomal RNA
Source: RNAcentral